Molecule: ribosomal RNA, 910 nt
Filed under: uncultured archaeon
Lineage: Archaea
Description: bacterial SSU rRNA
Rfam family: Archaeal small subunit ribosomal RNA
Source: RNAcentral
UUCCGGUUGAUCCUGCCGGAGGUCACUGCUAUUGGGAUUCGACUAAGCCAUGCGAGUCGAGAGGGUUCGGCCCUCGGCUGACGGCUCAGUAACACGUGGAUAAUCUGCCCUUAGGUGGAGGAUAAUCUCGGGAAACUGAGGAUAAUACUCCAUAGAUCUAGGAUGCUGGAAUGCAUCUAGAUUGAAAGCUCCGGCGCCUAAGGAUGAGUCUGCGGACUAUCAGGUUGUAGUCAGGGUAAAGACCUGACUAGCCUACGACGGAUACGGGUUGUGAGAGCAAUAACCCGGAGACGAUAUCUGAGACACGAUAUCGGGCCCUACGGGGCGCAGCAGGCGCGAAAACUUCACACUGUGCGAAAGCGCGAUGAGGGAAUCCCAAGUGUUUGCUCGUAAGAGUAAACUGUUUCUUUGUUUAAAACGCAGAGAGAGUAAGGGCUGGGUAAGACGGGUGCCAGCCGCCGCGGUAAUACCUGCAGCUCGAGUGGUGAUCAUUAUUAUUGGACCUAAAACGUCCGUAGCCGGUUUAGUAAAUGCCUGGGUAAAUCGUGUAGCUUAACUAUACGACUUCCGGGUAGACUGCUAAACUUGAGACCGGGAGAGGCUAGAGGUACUCCUGGGGUAGAGGUGACAUUCUGUAAUCCUAGGGGGACCACCAGUGGCGAAGGCGUCUAGCUAGAACGGGUCUGACGGUGAGGGACGAAGCCCUGGGGCACAAACCGGAUUAGAUACCCGGGUAGUCCAGGGUGUAAACGCUGCUUGCUUGAUGUUAGUUGGGCUCCGAGCCCAACUAGUGUCGGAGAGAAGUUGUUAAGCAAGCUGCCUGGGAAGUACGGUCGCAAGGCUGAAACUUAAAGGAAUUGGCGGGGGAGCACAGCAACGGGUGGAGCGUGCGGUUUAAUUGGAUUCAACG